AAAUUUUAGCAAAUACUGCUCUUAAAAUUAAAGGAAUUUACCAUGUAGAAAAUACGCCAAUAACUUAAAGAAAAAUUUUCCAAAGUUUUUUGUUUAAUGUCUCACAGCUAUAACUUAAAAACAUAAUUAAUUCUCUAUCGUUUAGACUAUUGAAUAAUUUUUUACUCAACUAGAAAUACAGGGUGUGUCACACAAUUAGUCUUGCGCGUAAUGUACACAGCCUAAAGUCAUAAAAGAUUAGAUAUCAAAUAUGAAAAAAUACACAUGUAAUUAUUUAAUUAUUUAGAAACCCAUGACAGUAGUUGUUAAACUAAACACUGUUGAAUUAAUAGUCAUAAAUUGCCGUUUUCACAAACAAUUUUCAUGUGUUCGGUCAGGAGACGGAAUGAAUAUGAUUCUAAUCUUUCGAACUUAAUGACUAACUAACUAAAAACGUUUCAAUUUUUUGAAGAGGUGAAUAAACUAGAGAAAGUUGUCCAAUUUUUCAAAAUUUGUAAUCGAGUUUGUAUCGGAAUAUGUAUUGUUGAUUGCAUUUUACAAGCACAGCCUUCGUAAAAUACGUAAAACACUGUAUUUAUUUUUGCCUCGGCCAUACAACUUGGAACACCUUGUACACGUCAGGAACUAAUAAUCACACAGAAUUUUCCCUGUCCAUGUGAAUAUUUUCUUUGUUGUAUCUUCUUCAAGUGCAAAACGAACGAAAAUGUGUUGCUUGGAGUAUUGAAAAAAAUAUAUUUGUGACGUCUGUCCUAGCCAGACCAGUUUCAACAAAUUCUAAUGUAUUUUUAAACUUAAAUUUAAAUUGUUUUUCGUGUUAGAAACAGUCGUGAAGUGGUCGAAAGCACUGUAUCCCUUGUUGUCCUUAAUACCGCUAGUGCCAUCUAUGCCCCAGCGCCAAAGCAGCGUCCGGCAAAACCUCCUCCAGUCAUCGAAAAACACAAAAAUUCAAUUAAAGAGUUAUUUGGUGUAGCAAUGUAGCGGUGUAUCCUAAUAAAGCACCACGUUGCAGCAAAAAGCCAUUCAAAUAUGAAAUAUUCAAUUAAACAAAAAUGUAUCCUCACUAUCGAUCCUAAUUGGGCGAUGCAUUCUUCGUGACGAUAUCGCAUUCCACUGACAGAGCAGUGAUUUAAAACAUCACAAAUAAGAUUAACAUUCUUGGGGCUGUCGCGAUUUAGCUCAAGUUGAAGCGACGCUGACCAGUUCUGCGCCAACGAUCGGUCAGUGCAGUGACUAAAAAUCUCCAUCGGUUUUGCUUCCAAAAAUUUCCAGUUGUGUCAGGUGUAAAGACGACAGGAUGACGGUGAUUGAAAUAGAAACUGGGUAAAGCCCUGAAAACGUGGUUGCAUUGUCCAGUGUUCGAUGUUCGAAAUCUCGCAAUUUUCAAACGCAAACCAUUCUAAUCAAUGUUGGAACAAGCAACAGAGGAACACAGAAACAGCUAGCACAACAUCGACCGACCCUGAGGCACAGUUUGAUCAACUUCUCUCUCCAGUCAUUUGUACGACACGGGUGCCAACAAAUCCAGUCGCAGUGGCUUUGUCCUUCAGUUGAGCGAAUUUUCCGUCGGAGUUUCAACAUUACGCUAAUUUUCCAUCUCUAGCUUUUCCGUUGGCAUGUCACGAGUGGAAAAAAGACAGAACGUUUGCUAGUUUGAAGUAUCUGAAGCGGAAAAGCCCGUUCCAUCAGAUAUCACUUGUAAAAUGGCUCUCUACGUUGGAGAAAUAGGAUCUAUUGUUACCGCCAGGUGAAUAGCGUUAGACAUGCUGAAAUCUGUAAAUGAAACUGUUAUCGGCGGCGAACUCGGGAGAAGUUUCCACCAAAGGAAAAUGGGAGCUUUCAGAGUGCCAACUUUCCAUCUCGUAUUAGUUUUAAAUUGGAAAUGUACUUAAAUGAUUAGAUUUGUAAAAUGAACACCAGGGACUUCGUCAAAUGUAUUUUUCUCUAAUUAAUCUUGAUUAAACCAUUGCGUAUUGAAAAUCUGAUGAA
Tribolium castaneum (red flour beetle) is the source of this 1986-nucleotide long non-coding RNA. RefSeq lists it as uncharacterized. NCBI's taxonomy places the organism in Eukaryota, Metazoa, Arthropoda, Insecta, Coleoptera, Tenebrionidae. The transcript has 2 exons. The record is from RefSeq and is a predicted model, not a curated record.